RNAcentral lists this non-coding RNA (28 nucleotides) under Mus musculus (house mouse). The record is from RNAcentral. Lineage: Eukaryota; Metazoa; Chordata; Mammalia; Rodentia; Muridae.
UGGGCUUCAGGGAAAUGAACUAGUUGGU